AUCGAACGCUGGCGGCAGGCCUAACACAUGCAAGUCGAGCGUGCGGCGGACGGGUGAGUAAUGUAUGGGGACUGUCCGUUAGAGGGGGAUCACUACUGGAAACGGUAUCUAAUACCGCAUUCUAUCGGAUUCCCCAUUUGGGAUUAGCUAGUAGGUGAGGUAAUGGCUCACCUAGGCGACGAUCCCUAGCUGGUCUGAGAGGUUGAUCAGCCACACUGGGACUGAGACACGGCCCAGACUCCUACGGAGGCAGCAGUGGGGAAUAUUGCACAAUGGGCGCAAGCCUGAUGCAGCCAUGCCGCGUGUAUGAAGAAGGCCCUAGGGUUGUAAAGUACUUUCAGUCGGGAGGCGGUACCGACAGAGGAAGCACCGGCUAACUACGUGCCAGCAGCCGCGGUAAUAC
Molecule: ribosomal RNA, 403 nt
Filed under: uncultured bacterium
Lineage: Bacteria
Description: partial 16S ribosomal RNA
Rfam family: Bacterial small subunit ribosomal RNA
Source: RNAcentral